GUCCAUGCCGUAAACGAUGUCUACUAGCCGUUGGGGCCUUUGAGGCUUUAGUGGCGCAGCUAACGCGAUAAGUAGACCGCCUGGGGAGUACGGUCGCAAGACUAAAACUCAAAUGAAUUGACGGGGGCCCGCACAAGCGGUGGAGCAUGUGGUUUAAUUCGACGCAACGCGAAGAACCUUACCUGAUCUUGACAUCGUAAGAACCUCACUGAAGGGUGAGGGUGCCUUCGGGAACUUACAGACAGGUGCUGCAUGGCUGUCGU
RNAcentral lists this ribosomal RNA (263 nucleotides) under uncultured bacterium. Its description in RNAcentral is "partial 16S ribosomal RNA". It matches the Rfam family "Bacterial small subunit ribosomal RNA", at positions 793 to 1055 of the family's 1533-position model. The record is from RNAcentral.